GCAUAAACCAGUUACAGCAGAUGAUGGAUGCCUUGGCGUCAUCAGGCGAUGAAGGGCGCAGCAAGCUGCGAUAAGCUUCGGGGAGCGGCAUACACGCUUUGAUCCGGAGAUGCCCGAAUGGGGAAACCCGGCACCGGUAAUUCGGUGUCACUUCGAGAUGAAUACAUAGUCUCGAUAGAGCAACACGCGGAGAAGUGAAACAUCUCAGUAUCCGCAGGAACAGAAAGAGAAUCGAUUCCGUCAGUAGUGGCGAGCGAACGCGGAACAGCCCAAACCGUCGGGAUUUAUCCUGGCGGGGUUGUAGGACCACGAUAUGGAAAGCUUAGGUUAGGAAAACCGUCUGGAAAGUCGGGCCAAAGAGGGUGAUAGCCCCGUAUUCGAAAACCGAAGCAGACCUAGUGGUAUCCUGAGUAGCACGGGACACGUGAAACCCCGUGUGAAUCCAUGCCGACCACGGCAUAAGGCUAAAUACUCGAUGACGACCGACAGUGAACUAGUACCGCGAGGGAAAGGUGAAAAGCACCCCUGUUAGGGGAGUGAAAUAGUAACUGAAAUCAUCUGCUAACAAGUCAGUCGGAGCCCCCUUGUGGGGUGACGGCCUGCCUUUUGUAUAAUGAGUCUGCGAGUUAUUGUCGGUAGCAAGCCUAAGCCGCUAAGCGGCGCAGGCGCAGCGAAAGCGAGUCCGAAUAGGGCGCUUAGUUGUCGGCAAUAGACCCGAAGGGGAGGUGAUCUAACCAUGGCCAGGAUGAAACUUCGGUAACACGAAGUGGAGGUCCGAACCGGUCAAUCUUGAGAAAUUGUCGGAUGAGCUGUGGUUAGGAGCGAAAGACUAAUCAAACCCCCUGAUAGCUGGUUCUUUCCGAAAUAUAUUUGGGUAUAGCCUCGGGCGCUGAUUUGCGGAGGUAGAGCACUAAAUAAGCUAGGGCCCCUACCGGGGUACUGAACUUAAUUAAACUCCGAAUACCGCAGAGUGAAGCCCGGGAGUCAGACUGUGGGGGAUAACCUUCAUAGUCGAAAGGAGAAUAAUCCAAACCAUCAGUUAAGGUCCCAAAAUACGGCUCAGUGUAAAAGGAUGUGAUUUUGCUUAGACAAUGGGGAUGUUGGCUUAGAGGCAGCCAUCAUUUAAACAGUGCGUAACAGCUGACCCAUCGAGCGAAAUUGCGCCGAAAAUGAUCGGGACUUAAGCCGUAUACCGAAGCUAUGGAUUUGGCCGCAAGGCCAAGUGGUAGGAAAGCGUUCCAAGUGCAGCGAAGUGGAAGGGGUAACCGACCAUGGAGCGCUUGGAAGUGAGAAUGCAGACAUAAGUAACGAUAAAGAUGGUUAAAAUCCAUCUCGCCUCAAUUCCAAGGAUUCCUGGGGAAGGUUCGUCCUCCCAGGGUUAGUCGGGAGCUAAGACGAGGCCGUAAGGAGUAGUCGAUGCACAGCUGGUUCAAUAUUCCAGCACCACCUUAUUGGAGUUCGAUGCCAAGGAGUGACGGAGAAAGUUAACACGAGCGGGGCGCUGAUUUCCGUUCAAGUCCGUAGGUUGUCCGGGAGUAAAAUACCGGAUCUAUCUGAAAGACGAUGAAAAGCUGAGGCUACGGCCGAGGCAAUUCGUGUGAUACUCGGCUUCCAGGAAAAGCUUCGUGGCUAUUUGAUAGGGUGCCCGUACCGUAAACCGACACAGGUGGAAUAGAUGAGUAUUCUAAGGCGCGUGGGUUAAAUCUCUCUAAGGAACUCGGCAAACUGACCCCGUAUGUUAGCUAUAAGGGGUGCCUCGCAAGAGGCCACAGAUAAGAGUGUCAACCGACUGUUUAGCAAAAACACAGCUCUCUGCUAAGUCGCAAGACGACGUAUAGGGAGUGACAUGUGACCAAUGCGGAAAGGUGAAAGCGUGAGGUGCAAGCUUCGCGUCUAAGCCCCCGUGAAUGUCGGCCGUAACUAUAACGGUCCUAAGGUAGCGAAAUUCCUUGUCGGGUAAGUUCC
This 1965-nucleotide ribosomal RNA is filed under the name bacterium. Its description in RNAcentral is "partial 23S ribosomal RNA". It matches the Rfam family "Bacterial large subunit ribosomal RNA", at positions 1 to 1984 of the family's 2925-position model. RNAcentral also lists the same sequence under 1 other name. The record is from RNAcentral.